Molecule: non-coding RNA, 79 nt
Organism: Potamilus streckersoni
Lineage: Eukaryota; Metazoa; Mollusca; Bivalvia; Unionida; Unionidae
Source: the annotation of a GenBank genome assembly
GGUGGCUUAGUGGUUAGAGCGCCCGCCUCGGAUGUGAGAGGUCGUGGGUUCAACCCUUGGUCGAGUCAUACCAUAGACU